GGGCCCAUAGCUCAGCUGGUAGAGCAAUCGGCUCUUAACCGAUAGGUCCAGGGUUCGAAUCCCUGUGGGCCCA
This 73-nucleotide transfer RNA is filed under the name Candidatus Aenigmatarchaeota archaeon. RNAcentral describes it as "tRNA-Lys". It matches the Rfam family "tRNA". Rfam says of the family: Transfer RNA (tRNA) molecules are approximately 80 nucleotides in length. Their secondary structure includes four short double-helical elements and three loops (D, anti-codon, and T loops). The record is from RNAcentral. Lineage: Archaea; Nanobdellati; Candidatus Aenigmatarchaeota.